GAUGAACGCUAGCGGCGUGCCUAAUACAUGCAAGUCGAGCGAACAGACGAGGAGCUUGCUCCUCUGACGUUAGCGGCGGACGGGUGAGUAACACGUGGAUAACCUACCUAUAAGACUGGGAUAACUUCGGGAAACCGGAGCUAAUACCGGAUAAUAUAUUGAACCGCAUGGUUCAAUAGUGAAAGACGGUUUUGCUGUCACUUAUAGAUGGAUCCGCGCCGCAGUAGCUAGUUGGUAAGGUAACGGCUUACCAAGGCGACGAUGCGUAGCCGACCUGAGAGGGUGAUCGGCCACACUGGAACUGAGACACGGUCCAGACUCCUACGGGAGGCAGCAGUAGGGAAUCUUCCGCAAUGGGCGAAAGCCUGACGGAGCAACGCCGCGUGAGUGAUGAAGGUCUUCGGAUCGUAAAACUCUGUUAUUAGGGAAGAACAAAUGUGUAAGUAACUAUGCACGUCUUGACGGUACCUAAUCAGAAAGCCACGGCUAACUACGUG
Molecule: ribosomal RNA, 497 nt
Filed under: uncultured bacterium
Lineage: Bacteria
Description: partial 16S ribosomal RNA
Rfam family: Bacterial small subunit ribosomal RNA
Source: RNAcentral